This 462-nucleotide long non-coding RNA is filed under the name Capsella rubella. RNAcentral describes it as "long non-coding RNA (CRUB_LNC001491)". The record is from RNAcentral. Lineage: Eukaryota; Viridiplantae; Streptophyta; Magnoliopsida; Brassicales; Brassicaceae.
AAAAAUAAAAUGCAUAGCUUUUAAAAUACAUUGUUAAAUGAAAUAGAGAUCAGUCUUUGUAUAAAAAGAAGUUUUAACUUGGUAUAAUAUAAUUUUCUUGGUUAAAGAACUAAGUAGAGUAUAAUUUAUAAACAAGAUAUCAAUCUUCAAGUUGCUCAAAAAAGAAUCUAAUACUAUUAUAUAAUUUGAGAUAAUUGAAUCCUGGUCCAUUUUUUUUUUUUUUUUGAAUAGACAAAGGAGGAAAGAUAUAUAUUACUCUUUGGAAAAAGGUAUAAACAACAUUAAAUCUUGGAAAAUAAAACUCCUAAUUGUGUAGGAAUCAGUCUCUCUAUAAAAGAAGUUUCAACUUGGUGCAAUAUAUUAUAUAUCUUUUGUUAAAGAACUUGGUAUAAUCAAAUUUCAGGCACGACAAUCUUCGUCCAGAUCGAAUCCAAAUCUAUGCUUUAACAAAAUAUAAAUCUA